This 507-nucleotide ribosomal RNA is filed under the name uncultured bacterium. RNAcentral describes it as "bacterial SSU rRNA". It matches the Rfam family "Bacterial small subunit ribosomal RNA", at positions 30 to 531 of the family's 1533-position model. The record is from RNAcentral.
AUUGAACGCUGGCGGCAUGCCUUACACAUGCAAGUCGAACGGUAACAGGUCUUCGGAUGCUGACGAGUGGCGAACGGGUGAGUAAUACAUCGGAACGUGCCCGAUCGUGGGGGAUAACGCAGCGAAAGCUGUGCUAAUACCGCAUACGAUCUACGGAUGAAAGCGGGGGAUCGCAAGACCUCGCGCGGACGGAGCGGCCGAUGGCAGAUUAGGUAGUUGGUGGGAUAAAAGCUUACCAAGCCGACGAUCUGUAGCUGGUCUGAGAGGACGACCAGCCACACUGGGACUGAGACACGGCCCAGACUCCUACGGGAGGCAGCAGUGGGGAAUUUUGGACAAUGGGGGAAACCCUGAUCCAGCCAUGCCGCGUGCAGGAUGAAGGCCUUCGGGUUGUAAACUGUCUUUUGUACGGAACGAAACGGUCUGCCCUAAUACGGCGGGCUAAUGACGGUACCGUAAGAAUAAGCACCGGCUAACUACGUGCCAGCAGCCGCGGUAAACUGUACG